Molecule: ribosomal RNA, 800 nt
Filed under: uncultured bacterium
Lineage: Bacteria
Description: bacterial SSU rRNA
Rfam family: Bacterial small subunit ribosomal RNA
Source: RNAcentral
AGAGUUUGAUCAUGGCUCAGAACGAACGCUGGCGGCGCGCCUAAUACAUGCAAGUCGAGCGAGAAGGUGUAGCAAUACACUUGUAAAGCGGCGAACGGGUGAGGAAUACAUGGGUAAUCUACCAUCGAGUGGGGAAUAACCAACCGAAAGGUUGGCUAAUACCGCGUACGCCUCCGAGUCUUCGGGUUCGGAGGGAAAGCUGCACUGUGAGUGUAGCGCUCUUUGAUGAGCUCAUGUCCUAUCAGCUUGUUGGUAGGGUAACGGCCUACCAAGGCUUUGACGGGUAGCUGGUCUGAGAGGACGAUCAGCCACACUGGCACUGCGACACGGGCCAGACUCCUACGGGAGGCAGCAGUAAGGAAUAUUGCGCAAUGGGCGAAAGCCUGACGCAGCGACGCCGCGUGGGGGAUGAAGGUCUUCGGAUUGUAAACCCCUUUCGGGAGGGAAGAUGGAGCGAGCAAUCGUUCGGACGGUACCUCCAGAAGCAGCCACGGCCAACUUCGUGCCAGCAGCCGCGGUAAUACGAAGGUGGCAAGCGUUGUUCGGAUUCACUGGGCGUACAGGGUGUGUAGGCGGUUUGGUAAGCCUUCUGUUAAAGCUUCGGGCCCAACCCGGAAAGCGCAGAGGGUACUGCCAGGCUAGAGGGUGGGAGAGGAGCGCGGAAUUCCCGGUGUAGCGGUGAAAUGCGUAGAGAUCGGGAGGAAGGCCGGUGGCGAGGGCGGCGCUCUGGAACAUACCUGACGCUGAGACACGAAAGCGUGGGGAGCAAACAGGAUUAGAUACCCUGGUAGUCCACGCCC